UUGUGAUGAAACAAAACCGAAACAGCUGGAAUUACCGGCAGAUUGUCAGUGGUGACAAGGUUUUAUUCUGAUU
This is a small nucleolar RNA of Monodelphis domestica (gray short-tailed opossum), 73 nucleotides long. Lineage: Eukaryota; Metazoa; Chordata; Mammalia; Didelphimorphia; Didelphidae. The record is from Ensembl.